AACACAUGCAAGUCGAGCGGAAACGACACUAACAAUCCUUCGGGUGCGUUAAUGGGCGUCGAGCGGCGGACGGGUGAGUAAUGCCUAGGAAAUUGCCUUGAUGUGGGGGAUAACCAUUGGAAACGAUGGCUAAUACCGCAUAAUGCCUACGGGCCAAAGAGGGGGAUCUUCGGACCUCUCGCGUCAAGAUAUGCCUAGGUGGGAUUAGCUAGUUGGUGAGGUAAUGGCUCACCAAGGCGACGAUCCCUAGCUGGUCUGAGAGGAUGAUCAGCCACACUGGAACUGAGACACGGUCCAGACUCCUACGGGAGGCAGCAGUGGGGAAUAUUGCACAAUGGGCGAAAGCCUGAUGCAGCCAUGCCGCGUGUAUGAAGAAGGCCUUCGGGUUGUAAAGUACUUUCAGUUGUGAGGAAGGGGGUAACGUUAAUAGCGUUAUCUCUUGACGUUAGCAACAGAAGAAGCACCGGCUAACUCCGUGCCAGCAGCCGCGGUAAUACGGAGGGUGCGAGCGUUAAUCGGAAUUACUGGGCGUAAAGCGCAUGCAGGUGGUUCAUUAAGUCAGAUGUGAAAGCCCGGGGCUCAACCUCGGAACUGCAUUUGAAACUGGUGAACUAGAGUGCUGUAGAGGGGGGUAGAAUUUC
RNAcentral lists this ribosomal RNA (641 nucleotides) under uncultured Vibrio sp. RNAcentral describes it as "bacterial SSU rRNA". It matches the Rfam family "Bacterial small subunit ribosomal RNA", at positions 50 to 670 of the family's 1533-position model. The record is from RNAcentral. Lineage: Bacteria; Pseudomonadati; Pseudomonadota; Gammaproteobacteria; Vibrionales; Vibrionaceae.